Molecule: small nucleolar RNA, 138 nt
Organism: Eleginops maclovinus (Patagonian blennie)
Lineage: Eukaryota; Metazoa; Chordata; Actinopteri; Perciformes; Eleginopidae
Product: small nucleolar RNA SNORA75
Exons: 1
Source: RefSeq, a predicted model, not a curated record
ACCUUCUCAUGAGCUCCUCUGAAUCUCACCCAUGAUUCUGAAUGGAUUCGCACGAGAAGCAGAGUCAAUGCACAGUUUGAACAAGCUCUGCAGGCCCUACUCGCAUUAGGGAAACUGUCUGUCUGUUGUGCAACAGUU